GAUGAACGCUGGCGGCGUGCCUAAUACAUGCAAGUAGAACGCUGAAGGAAGGAGCUUGCUCUUUCCGGAUGAGUUGCGAACGGGUGAGUAACGCGUAGGUAACCUGCCUGGUAGCGGGGGAUAACUAUUGGAAACGAUAGCUAAUACCGCAUAACAGUAGAUGUUGCAUGAUAUCUACUUAAAAGGUGCAAUUGCACCACUACCAGAUGGACCUGCGUUGUAUUAGCUAGUUGGUGAGGUAACGGCUCACCAAGGCGACGAUACAUAGCCGACCCGAGAGGGUGAUCGGCCACACUGGGACUGAGACACGGCCCAGACUCCUACGGGAGGCAGCAGUAGGGAAUCUUCGGCAAUGGACGGAAGUCUGACCGAGCAACGCCGCGUGAGUGAAGAAGGUUUUCGGAUCGUAAAGCUCUGUUGUAAGAGAAGAACGAGUGUGAGAGUGGAAAGUUCACACUGUGACGGUAUCUUACCAGAAAGGGACGGCUAACUACGUG
This 497-nucleotide ribosomal RNA is filed under the name uncultured bacterium. RNAcentral's name for it is "partial 16S ribosomal RNA". It matches the Rfam family "Bacterial small subunit ribosomal RNA", at positions 28 to 507 of the family's 1533-position model. The record is from RNAcentral.